Molecule: ribosomal RNA, 450 nt
Filed under: uncultured bacterium
Lineage: Bacteria
Description: partial 16S ribosomal RNA
Rfam family: Bacterial small subunit ribosomal RNA
Source: RNAcentral
GUGGGGAAUAUUGGACAAUGGGGGGAACCCUGAUCCAGCCAUGCCGCGUGUGUGAAGAUGGUCUUCGGAUUGUAAAGCACUUUAAGUUGGGAGGAAGGGCAGUAAGUUAAUACCUUGCUGUUUUGACGUUACCGACAGAAUAAGCACCGGCUAACUUCGUGCCAGCAGCCGCGGUAAUACGAAGGGUGCAAGCGUUAAUCGGAAUUACUGGGCGUAAAGCGCGCGUAGGUGGUUUUGUAAGUUGGAGGUGAAAUCCCCGGGCUCAACCUGGGAACUGCCUCCAAAACUGCAUGACUAGAGUACGGGAGAGGGUAGUGGAAUUGCCUGUGUAGCGGUGAAAUGCGUAGAUAUAGGAAGGAACACCAGUGGCGAAGGCGACUACCUGGACUGAUACUGACACUGAGGUGCGAAAGCGUGGGGAGCAAACAGGAUUAGAAACCCCUGUAGUCC